GGGUCAGUAGGUUGGUCGUGCCACCGGUACGUACUGGUCUCACUGAUUCCUCCUUCCUGAAGAUCCGUAAUGCCAUUAAUUUGGUGUUGCGGGAAACAGGACUGUUACUUUGAAAAAAUUAGAGUGUUUAAAGCAAGCUAACGCUUGAAUACAUUAGCAUGGAAUAAUGAAAUAGGACGAUCGAUCCUAUUUUGUUGGUUUCUAGGAUUGACGUA
This 215-nucleotide ribosomal RNA is filed under the name Glomeromycotina sp. RNAcentral's name for it is "partial small subunit ribosomal RNA". The stretch from base 75 to 215 matches the Rfam family "Eukaryotic small subunit ribosomal RNA", at positions 722 to 864 of the family's 1831-position model. The record is from RNAcentral. Lineage: Eukaryota; Fungi; Glomeromycota.